GGGCGGUGGGGUAGCCUAGUGGGUAAAGCAUUAGCUCAUCACUGCAAAACCCCUGUUCAAUUCCCCACAUGGGUACAAUGUGUGAAGCCCAUUUCUGGUGUCCCCUGCCGUGAUAUUGC
Molecule: long non-coding RNA, 119 nt
Organism: Haliotis rubra (blacklip abalone)
Lineage: Eukaryota; Metazoa; Mollusca; Gastropoda; Lepetellida; Haliotidae
Exons: 3
Source: RefSeq, a predicted model, not a curated record